This 253-nucleotide ribosomal RNA is filed under the name uncultured bacterium. Its description in RNAcentral is "partial 16S ribosomal RNA". It matches the Rfam family "Bacterial small subunit ribosomal RNA", at positions 524 to 776 of the family's 1533-position model. The record is from RNAcentral.
UACGGAGGGUGCAAGCAUUGAUCGGAAUUACUGGGCGUAAAGGGCGCGUAGGCGGCUCGAUAAGUCGGAUGUGAAAUUCCGGGGCUCAACCCCGGAGCGGCAUUUGAAUCUGUCGAACUAGAGUACAGUUAGGGUAAACGGAAUUCCUCGUGUAGCGGUGAAAUGCGUAGAUAUGUGGAAGAACACCGGUGGCGAAAGCGGUUCUCUAGCUAAUAACUGACGCUGAGGCGCGAGAGCAAGGGGAGCAAACAGG